AGUGAACGCUGGCGGUAGGCCUAACACAUGCAAGUCGAACGGCAGCACAGUAAGAGCUUGCUCUUACGGGUGGCGAGUGGCGGACGGGUGAGGAAUACAUCGGAAUCUACUUUUUCGUGGGGGAUAACGUAGGGAAACUUACGCUAAUACCGCAUACGACCUACGGGUGAAAGCAGGGGAUCUUCGGACCUUGCGCGAUUGAUUGAGCCGAUGUCGGAUUAGCUAGUUGGCGGGGUAAAGGCCCACCAAGGCGACGAUCCGUAGCUGGUCUGAGAGGAUGAUCAGCCACACUGGAACUGAGACACGGUCCAGACUCCUACGGGAGGCAGCAGUGGGGAAUAUUGGACAAUGGGCGCAAGCCUGAUCCAGCCAUACCGCGUGGGUGAAGAAGGCCUUCGGGUUGUAAAGCCCUUUUGUUGGGAAAGAAAAGCAGCAGGUUAAUACCCCGAUGUUCUGACGGUACCCAAAGAAUAAGCACCGGCUAACUUCGUG
This 492-nucleotide ribosomal RNA is filed under the name uncultured bacterium. RNAcentral's name for it is "partial 16S ribosomal RNA". It matches the Rfam family "Bacterial small subunit ribosomal RNA", at positions 29 to 507 of the family's 1533-position model. The record is from RNAcentral.